AGUCGAACGGAGAUUACUUCGGUAAUCUUAGUGGCGAACGGGUGAGUAACGCGUGGGCAACCUGCCCUCUAGAUGGGGACAACAUCCCGAAAGGGGUGCUAAUACCGAAUGUGACAGCAAUCUCGCAUGAGGAUGCUGUGAAAGAUGGCCUCUAUUUAUAAGCUAUCGCUAGAGGAUGGGCCUGCGUCUGAUUAGCUAGUUGGUGGGGUAACGGCCUACCAAGGCGAUGAUCAGUAGCCGGUCUGAGAGGAUGAACGGCCACAUUGGGACUGAGACACGGCCCAGACUCCUACGGGAGGCAGCAGUGGGGAAUCUUCCGCAAUGGGCGAAAGCCUGACGGAGCAAUGCCGCGUGAGUGAUGAAGGAAUUCGUUCCGUAAAGCUCUUUUGUUUAUGACGAAUGUGCAGGUUGUGAAUAAUGACUUGUAAUGACGGUAGUAAACGAAUAAGCCACGGCUAACUACGUGCCAGCAGCCGCGGUAAUACGUAGGUGGCGAGCGUUGUCCGGAAUUAUUGGGCGUAAAGAGCAUGUAGGCGGUUUUUUAAGUCUGGAGUGAAAAUGCGGGGCUCAACCCCGUAUGGCUCUGGAUACUGGAAGACUUGAGUGCAGGAGAGGAAAGGGGAAUUCCCAGUGUAGCGGUGAAAUGCGUAGAUAUUGGGAGGAACACCAGUGGCGAAGGCGCCUUUCUGGACUGUGUCUGACGCUGAGAUGCGAAAGCCAGGG
RNAcentral lists this ribosomal RNA (723 nucleotides) under uncultured bacterium. RNAcentral describes it as "bacterial SSU rRNA". It matches the Rfam family "Bacterial small subunit ribosomal RNA", at positions 60 to 765 of the family's 1533-position model. The record is from RNAcentral.